This 104-nucleotide non-coding RNA is filed under the name chicken gut metagenome. Its description in RNAcentral is "THF riboswitch". It matches the Rfam family "THF (Tetrahydrofolate) riboswitch aptamer", at positions 6 to 94 of the family's 99-position model. From Rfam's summary of the family: THF riboswitch presents a pseudoknot that joins P1-P2 and the loop of P3 and two THF binding. The record is from RNAcentral.
AAGUAACUGUCUGCGCGUCAAGUGCCAUUGAACGGGACGUUGUCAAUGGACGAAAGGAAAGAAAAAUCUUUGCAUUCUUUCCUGCGGUGCGGGCGGUGCGUCCG